RNAcentral lists this non-coding RNA (101 nucleotides) under Tissierella praeacuta. Its description in RNAcentral is "Guanine sequence". It matches the Rfam family "Purine riboswitch aptamer". Rfam says of the family: Riboswitches are metabolite binding domains within certain messenger RNAs that serve as precision sensors for their corresponding targets. Allosteric rearrangement of mRNA structure is mediated by ligand binding, and this results in modulation of gene expression. A class of riboswitches that selectively recognises guanine and becomes saturated at concentrations as low as 5 nM. RNAcentral also lists the same sequence under 1 other name. Lineage: Bacteria; Bacillati; Bacillota; Tissierellia; Tissierellales; Tissierellaceae. The record is from RNAcentral.
AAUAAUAAUGAAUAUGUUGCUCAUAUAGGUUCCAUAAUACGGUUGGGACGUUUCUACAAAUGACCGAAAAUCAUUUAGCUAUGGGCGAAAGUGUACCUAGG